AGGGUGUAAACGCUGCAGACUUGGUGUUGGAAGUCCUUUGGGGGCAUUCAGUGCCGGAGAGAAGUUGUUAAGUCUGCUACUUGGGGAGUACGUCCGCAAGGAUGAAACUUAAAGGAAUUGGCGGGGGGAGCACCACAACGGGUGGAGCCUGCGGUUUAAUUGGACUCAACGCCGGAAAUCUCACCGGAUAGGACAGACAUAUGAUAGUCGGGCUGAAGACUCUACUUGAUGAUCUGAGAGGUGGUGCAUGGCGUAGACGUCU
This 262-nucleotide ribosomal RNA is filed under the name uncultured archaeon. RNAcentral describes it as "partial 16S ribosomal RNA". It matches the Rfam family "Archaeal small subunit ribosomal RNA", at positions 748 to 1009 of the family's 1478-position model. The record is from RNAcentral.